Hyaena hyaena (striped hyena) is the source of this 573-nucleotide long non-coding RNA. RefSeq lists it as uncharacterized. Lineage: Eukaryota; Metazoa; Chordata; Mammalia; Carnivora; Hyaenidae. The record is from RefSeq and is a predicted model, not a curated record. The transcript has 3 exons.
CGUCAGCGGCGGAGGGCGGACGGAGAGGAAGAAACAUUACACGAGGCCUCCAGAGUCUUUAUGCCACUACUUUCAUAGUAGGCCCCAUAAAGCGACAGGGAAGAGUGGAAUGCGACCAAUUUAAAUUUUCUGUGUCGCUGUCAGUAGCAGUGAGUGCCUAGGUGCCUCCAUCAGCAGUAAAAGCACUUCCCCAAACCCGAGGACGGGCUUUCGGACAGCACGCUGUACUUCUCCUUACACGUACUGCAUGCUUGGUGUCAACGACGACGUGCCGGGGAGGAAAUUAAACUCGGAGAGUUCAUCGUAAUUUUAGGCUCGUUUGGGUUUCUGUUAUUUGGAACUAGGAGUCUUGAUAAACACAAAACAAAAAUACAAGCGUUUCGACUAGAGACCAGAAGAAUUCUUUCCAGAGUCUUCUUCAUGGAGUUGUGCUACUAGGCUACAGCUCUGCUGCAAGAAAUAGUCCAACAGAAACUGUCUUCGCGGCCAGCUGUCAAAGUGGGGGUGAAGACAGUUUUCUCCUCUGGAUCCACAUGGAAAUAAAGUUUUAAAUUUGCUGCCUUGAAGAACUUC